Molecule: long non-coding RNA, 408 nt
Organism: Tribolium castaneum (red flour beetle)
Lineage: Eukaryota; Metazoa; Arthropoda; Insecta; Coleoptera; Tenebrionidae
Exons: 2
Source: RefSeq, a predicted model, not a curated record
AUGUUUUUGGCAGAUGACAGAUAUUACAACACGGGUACAGUGCACGGCAAAGCUAAUGACACAGGUACACCAACCAAGUUCACACCAGGAAAAUUAUCAAAUAAUCGAUAAACUGGAGACUAAGCCCUUCGAUAGACCCUUCAACUGUAAAAAAAUCAUGUUCGGACAAACACCCCUUGGGACUUUAACGAAUUUUUUUAAUUUUUAUAAAGUUUUUUUAUUUUGCUAACUUUUUUUUUCACCCAAUGUAUAUCCUGCAAUUUUUUUUAUUUUUGCAAGAGAUUAAGCUCUUCGAUAGAGCCUUCGACUGUAAAAAAAUCAUGUUCGGACAUAAUGUAUCUUGUGAGGUAUAAUAUUGAUAAAUGUCGCUUCUUGUUACUUUCAUGCAAAUAAAGAUUUUUAAAUGCU